Molecule: ribosomal RNA, 492 nt
Filed under: Triticum aestivum (bread wheat)
Lineage: Eukaryota; Viridiplantae; Streptophyta; Magnoliopsida; Poales; Poaceae
Description: partial small subunit ribosomal RNA
Source: RNAcentral
GCACGCAAGUACCGGAAGAGGCCCCGCAAGCUUGUUGACCCACUACUACGUGCUAGCAAGAGCGAGAGAGCUCAGAUUGCGGAAUGCGUUAAGGUGGCUCUGCUGUGCGUCCAAUGUCGUGCUGAAUGUAGGCCCGCCAUGUCGGAAGUUGUCGCGAUGCUCUGCAGCAUCGGGAGUGGGAGAUCGUCACCAGCUUACUGCUGUCACUGAGUGAUAAUCAGGCGUUGUAGUUGACCAAGGACGGCCAGAGAUUAUGGCCGUCACAUUCACAUGUAUGUUCACAAUGGGCAUGGACAUGACAAAGGAAGUGGGAUUCUGCAUUCUGAUCUGGCUCCUGGUCGCCCUAGUUCUGUUGAAGGUGAAUGGCUGAUACCCUGAUUUGCACUCAGAUUUGCCGUCCAUCACAAAACACAGAGCUAUUUCUACAGUGUAAUGCGUUACCGUACCAUGCUGGCUUGCUGUCAACACUAAUUGGGAAGUCAACAAAAGAAA